RNAcentral lists this ribosomal RNA (460 nucleotides) under uncultured bacterium. Its description in RNAcentral is "partial 16S ribosomal RNA". It matches the Rfam family "Bacterial small subunit ribosomal RNA", at positions 338 to 795 of the family's 1533-position model. The record is from RNAcentral.
CCUACGGGUGGCAGCAGUGAGGAAUAUUGGUCAAUGGACGCAAGUCUGAACCAGCCAUGCCGCGUGCAGGAAGACUGCUCUAUGAGUUGUAAACUUCUUUUGUAAGAGGGUAAACGCUGACACGCGUGUCUGUUUGCAAGUACCUUAUGAAUAAGGAUCGGCUAACUCCGUACCAGCAGCCGCGGUAAUACGGAGGAUUCAAGCGUUAUCCGGAUUUAUUGGGUUUAAAGGGUGCGUAGACGGUUGGAUAAGUUAGUGGUGAAAGCCUGAGGCUCAACUGUAGAAUUGCCUUUGAUACUGUUCGGCUAGAGAGUAGUUGCGGUAGGCGGAAUGUAUGGUGUAGCGGUGAAAUGCUUAGAGAUCAUACAGAACACCGAUUGCGAAGGCAGCUUACCAAGCUACUUCUGACAUUGAGGCACGAAAGCGUGGGGAGCAAACAGGAUUAGAUACCCGUGUAGUC